Molecule: non-coding RNA, 20 nt
Filed under: Arabidopsis thaliana (thale cress)
Lineage: Eukaryota; Viridiplantae; Streptophyta; Magnoliopsida; Brassicales; Brassicaceae
Source: RNAcentral
UGCUAAACACAGGUUGAUGC